UACGUAGGGGGCGAGCGUUGUCCGGAUUUACUGGGCGUAAAGAGCGCGCAGGCGGUCGUUCAAGUCGGGUGUGAAAGCCCCCGGCUCAACUGGGGAGGGUCACUCGAUACUGAUCGACUCGAAGGCAGGAGAGGGAAGCGGAAUUCUCGGUGUAGCGGUGAAAUGCGUAGAUAUCGAGAGGAACACCGGCGGCGAAGGCGGGUCGCUGGGCUGACACUGACGCUGAAGCGCGAAAGCUAGGGGAGCGAACGGG
This 253-nucleotide ribosomal RNA is filed under the name uncultured bacterium. Its description in RNAcentral is "partial 16S ribosomal RNA". It matches the Rfam family "Bacterial small subunit ribosomal RNA", at positions 524 to 776 of the family's 1533-position model. The record is from RNAcentral.